GACGAACGCUGGCGGCGUGCCUAAUACAUGCAAGUUGAGCGAUGAAGAUUGGUGCUUGCACCAAUUUGAAGAGCAGCGAACGGGUGAGUAACGCGUGGGGAAUCUGCCUUUGAGCGGGGGACAACAUUUGGAAACGAAUGCUAAUACCGCAUAACAACUUUAAACAUAAGUUUUAAGUUUGAAAGAUGCAAUUGCAUCACUCAAAGAUGAUCCCGCGUUGUAUUAGCUAGUUGGUGAGGUAAAGGCUCACCAAGGCGAUGAUACAUAGCCGACCUGAGAGGGUGAUCGGCCACAUUGGGACUGAGACACGGCCCAAACUCCUUCGGGAGGCAGCAGUAGGGAAUCUUCGGCAAUGGACGAAAGUCUGACCGAGCAACGCCGCGUGAGUGAAGAAGGUUUUCGGAUCGUAAAACUCUGUUGGUAGAGAAGAACGUUGGUGAGAGUGGAAAGCUCAUCAAGUGACGGUAACUACCCAGAAAGGGACGGCUAACUACGUG
This 497-nucleotide ribosomal RNA is filed under the name uncultured bacterium. Its description in RNAcentral is "partial 16S ribosomal RNA". It matches the Rfam family "Bacterial small subunit ribosomal RNA", at positions 28 to 507 of the family's 1533-position model. The record is from RNAcentral.